CCUUCCUGAAAUUGUAGAGGACUGGAAAAAUUCUGAGUUGUCACAAGUCUGUCAUCUUGGUGAAUGUAUUUAAUCUAAAGGAAUGACAUUUAUUCUAAUACUUUAGGCACCCUCCUGUCCCUGAUGCUACUCUUUUUUUUUUUUUUACGAGAAAGAUGAUGUACUAAGAAUUGAACCCGGGUCCUUGAGUGUGCUGCCUGAUCACCGAGAUACACCUCCAACCCUCCAGUGUCUUUCUAAAAGGAGCUGAUAAUGACAGCAUGGUCCUGAGUUUGGGAUGAGGAAGGACAUAUCUAUGGCAACUGCUGACGACCGAGCAUCAGGUUGGCUCACAGCAUCCACCAGAAAACGCCUGGGGAAGUUGAGCUGGAGUUCCUGUUGGAGCUUUCUCCCUGUGGCCACUCCUCCCGAGACUGAACUUCCAGCUUCUCCUUCCCACUGUGAGCAUUUUAAGAUCAUGGGAUAAAUAGUGGUACCUCUGCUGGAAGUGUCUUACCUUCCGGCUGUUCUCAAGGAUAGUGUUUUUACUCUAGGGCUGUUUUGCUGUUCUCCCCCAUCGCAGAGUUCGGAGGCAACCCAUCCCCAGACUAAGGACCUAGAAGGACACCUUGAGACAAAUAUACUUGAUUAUGAAAUGUGGGAUAUGGGGGCAACCCCACUUCCAGAGCCAGCUUCUCAGUAAGCUCCAACAGCACGUGACGAUUUACCAACAGAAUGUGCCUUACUUUACAACAAUGUACCCCGUUCCUCCUCUCUUGGUCAGCGUCAGAGACAAAACCAUCACUUUACUUCUACAUUUUGGGGGAUGGGUCACUACUAUCUUAUGUAAUUAUGAGUAGG
Long non-coding RNA from Alexandromys fortis (reed vole), 840 nucleotides. RefSeq lists it as uncharacterized. The transcript has 3 exons. NCBI's taxonomy places the organism in Eukaryota, Metazoa, Chordata, Mammalia, Rodentia, Cricetidae. The record is from RefSeq and is a predicted model, not a curated record.